GACGCGUCCCGGGGCCGCCGCCGCCGCCGCCGGGUCCUAGGCGGAGCGGAGAGCAGGAGGACGCGGAGCCGGGCCGCUGGAAGCCGGGGAGCCUCGGCGUCGCCGCCGGCCUGUGCAAACAGACGGACGACGGUGACAGCGCGCAGCCGGCAGGGGAAGGGUGGGAGGGGCCCCCGGGUGCCGGGGGAAUCCCAACGGCUCCAUCUCCCCUCGGUGCAGCUCUGCUGCCCGCGGACCCUUGGACUCAGGAGGCGGCUGGGUGACCCUCCUUCAAAGGCAGGGCAGCCCAGAGGAUUCCUGCCGUCGCCCCUAGGCACCCUGCGACCGUGGGAUUCUUGGAGAGUGUCACCUCUGCUAGAUUUCACUGGGACUCGCCACUGUCUGAUGAGAACAUCUGCCCAGUAUUGUAGAGGUUAUAGAGAAUGGAAAUGUUUAUAGCCCGAAAGGAAGAAAUAAGAAACCGUGUGUCCUAUCAGAGAAUGAAGAUCCUGGGCUAAAAACAAAAGCCUGAAAACACUGACAGAUGAAGCCCAGAACAUUUGGCUGAUCGUUGUAUACUUGAUGAAGAUUUUGUGUCCUUAGUCUGAAAGACAUUCUAAAAUAUUAUAGAUUUAGUUUCUGCCAAUUCAGUUUCUUCCAAGUAAUCCACUUAAUUUCACAGGUGUGGAGGUGGUUAGAAGUCCUCAUACUGGGUGGUAAAUAAAAUGAUUUCUUCUGUUACAUUUACUGAGGAGACUUGAUGCCUUCUUCUGAAGAAAUAAAGGGCUCAUUCAAUUUUGAGAUAAACUUUUAUUGUUUGGAACUCAAAAAUUCCUUUCACAGGAAAAAUAACAAUGCUAUUUUCAGUUGGGGGGAAAAGGGUUUUAAAUUAAAUUCUAAAAUCCUAUUAUGUGCUUAUUACAUACUAAUGUGAGUUCAUCUUUUUGGUAAAAUGAACACCCAAGCAUGUUUGUAUGCAGUUUAUGCCCGUUCCAAGACUCUAAAAAGCUGGCACAGAUUCGGGCAAGAAAAAUGUGUCUAUUUCCUCUCAAUAUGUCUACUGUUUGAAUUAAAUAUACUGGAGACUGGUGUAA
This is a long non-coding RNA of Neofelis nebulosa (Clouded leopard), 1073 nucleotides long. RefSeq lists it as uncharacterized. The transcript has 3 exons. Lineage: Eukaryota; Metazoa; Chordata; Mammalia; Carnivora; Felidae. The record is from RefSeq and is a predicted model, not a curated record.